AGUGAACGCUGGCGGUAGGCCUAACACAUGCAAGUCGAACGGCAGCACAGUAAGAGCUUGCUCUUACGGGUGGCGAGUGGCGGACGGGUGAGGAAUACAUCGGAAUCUACUUUUUCGUGGGGGAUAACGUAGGGAAACUUACGCUAAUACCGCAUACGACCUACGGGUGAAAGCAGGGGAUCUUCGGACCUUGCGCGAUUGAAUGAGCCGAUGUCGGAUUAGCUAGUUGGCGGGGUAAAGGCCCACCAAGGCGACGAUCCGUAGCUGGUCUGAGAGGAUGAUCAGCCACACUGGAACUGGAACAGGGUCCAGACUCCUAAGGGAGGGAGCAGUGGGGAAUAUUGGACAAAGGGGGCAAGCCUGAUCCAGCCAUACCGCGUGGGUGGAGAAGGCCUUCGGGUUGGAAAGCCCUUUUGUUGGGAAAGAAAAGCAGCAGGUUAAUACCCCGCUGUUCUGACGGUACCCAAAGAAUAAGCACCGGCUAACUUCGUG
RNAcentral lists this ribosomal RNA (492 nucleotides) under uncultured bacterium. RNAcentral's name for it is "partial 16S ribosomal RNA". It matches the Rfam family "Bacterial small subunit ribosomal RNA", at positions 29 to 507 of the family's 1533-position model. The record is from RNAcentral.